Molecule: long non-coding RNA, 497 nt
Organism: Piliocolobus tephrosceles (Ugandan red Colobus)
Lineage: Eukaryota; Metazoa; Chordata; Mammalia; Primates; Cercopithecidae
Exons: 3
Source: RefSeq, a predicted model, not a curated record
AUCUCAAACUCCUGACCUCAGGUGAUCCACCCGCCUCUGCCUACCAAAGUGUUGGGAUUAUAGGCGUGAGCCACUGCACCCGGGCCUCCUCUAGCUUAUUGAAUAUGUAUAUUUGGUCACCUUGUUCAUCAUCAAUUCCUGUUCCCCUUGCCCUUCCCGUGAAGUGUGUUUCUGGCUUCUGGCUGGAGGCUACACUUUCCCAGACUGUUAGAAAGGCCACCCUGCAGGCUGCAAGCCUUUAUAUCGAUAAAAAAAAGCUCUCUUUUUCAGAUUUAUGAAACUCAUGAUUCUUCAGUUGACAGACUGGAUGAGAAGGAACUCUCCAGAUAACAGCCCUUUAGAUAUUUGAAGACAAUUUUGAAAGUCAGCCCACAUCUUCUGUCCUUCCUUUCAAAGACUGUGACCAGAAGAUAAUCUGUUUUUCAGAUGCCAAGAUGCUUCUUUCACAUCUUAGGAUCAUGGUGGUUUGUAAACAGAUAAGAAAGUUUGGAGUCACC